Molecule: non-coding RNA, 20 nt
Filed under: Arabidopsis thaliana (thale cress)
Lineage: Eukaryota; Viridiplantae; Streptophyta; Magnoliopsida; Brassicales; Brassicaceae
Source: RNAcentral
GAGGACCGAGUGCCGCUCAC